GGAUCUUCUCCUAGAUGGAGGUCUUGGCCUCCAAUGGAGUAGUGGUCUCUCUCUCUCAAGAGUAGAGAUAGGUAGGAGCAAAGCUCACAUACAAAUGAGCUAUCACUUUGCUAACCCUAGAAAGGAGGUGGAGGUGGUCUAUUUAUAGUCUAAGCCACGAAGGGGUAAGUGGGAGAGGGAUACAUGGCCAAAGGCCCGCGGCUGCGCACACAGGCGUCAGACGUCCGGUGGGGGUCAGACAUCCGGAAGCUCGGGAUGGUCCGGACGUCCGAAAGACUUCGGACUUCCAUAAAUUCUUCUCUGUCACCGUAGUAUCGGUCGUCCGGUCGGUGUCGGUCGUCCGUGCCUGGGACUUGUCGGACGUCCGGCGUUCGUCGGUCGUUCGGCUGCUGUAGCUUUCGUCGGCAGGUCUCUUGGGCUGGCUGGAGCUCCAGGUGUCGGACGUCCGACGUAGUCCGGUCGUCCGGGCGCUGUAGGGGUGUCGGACGUCCGGUGGCUUCUGGUCGUCCGGUCGCUGUAGACUCCGCAGCUCCUUCUUCUUCCGUCUUCGCUUCCAUGCCUCCCUCGCGGAUGGGGUAGUUGUUCCUUGGCGCUUGCACUCCUCCUUGUCAUCCAUGAAGUUCCGGUGAUACCUAUGCAUGCACACGGGUGGAGUGUCAAGUAGUAUACCAUCCUCGAAGGGGUCAAGUGAACACGUGUAAAGGAGUAGAUUCACCUUUAUGUAUGGGAAGUAGAGGUCGCACGUGUCACUUGCCAAAUGAACUCUUGACAUGGUGAUGACCGUAGGAUGCUCCGCAUCAUCCCCUCCCCCUUGGAAAAGAUCCGACCUCGGAUCGAAAACCAAAUCACCAUGGGAAAGAGAUGGUGUUACCGUGUCGAAGCGGUCGAUCUCCAAGCACUCAUCAUCUUUAAGCUCGAAAUAGGCACUCUCCAAUGUCGCACCAUCUUGUGAUUCCUUCAAAAGGAGAAAAUAGAACAAACACUUGGAAAAACAAAUGUGGUUAGCGUUAGUGCAAAACCAAGCAUUCAAGAGGUGAUUCACCAAACAAGUGUUGUCAUCAAGCAUAGCAUAGGGUGUGACAAAGGAUUGUGACAUGGCAUGUAAGCAUAUGAAUCGAGCAAAAUCAAGGUCAUCAUGGAAACAAGCAUGUAAAUGUGAGAUAGAGAUGCAAAUAUGUGUGAUAAGAGCAUAAGCAUCUACCUCAAAGUCAUAGCAAACAUGCAUAAAGUGCUCGACAAAUGGUCGAUGGUAGGCAUAGGAAUCAUUCACAACACCAAAUAAGAUGAGAUGUCUAAACACAUGGGUCAAGUGCAAGACAAUCCAAGCAUAAUGUGCAUAGGGUGUAGUGAAUAUAGUGUGGCACUCAACACAAUAGAAAUAGCAAGUGUUCAUCAUGUGUGAGGCAGUCAAGUCAAGCAUGUGACAAGCAAAGGGACAUGGCAUAUGUGAAGAAAUGAUAUUGGUGCAACCAAUCAUAUGAUAGUAGCAAGUAGACCAAGAAUUGGAUGCAACACACAAGGUAUAUAUACCAUGAAGCAUGGAAAUGUGGCAAUCAUGGGUGAAAGCAAUGUCUCGAACAUGCGUGCAAAUGGUGCAAGCAACACAUGAAGUAUGAUCCACAAUAUCCAAGCUCAAGAAGGAUGUCACCUUGAAGGUGUGUCCUUGUGCAUUCUUCACAAUGCCGAAGUGGAAGUAAAUAUGGUGUAGAAGUGAGUCGUGGUAGAAUGUAUGAGGCUCGCUCUCAAGAGCUCGAAUGGUCAACUCACGUGAAGUGGAAGUCGACACAAAGUCCAAGUAUCCUACACAUGCACAAAACAAAACAAAGAACGUAUGCGCAUGGUAGAUAAACACAUCAUCCAUCAUGAUGGUUCUCAUCUUUUGCACAAAACCAUUAGAAGCACAAGUGCAUGAAUAAUAUGAUGCAACAAUGGAUAAAUUCAUGGCCCUGGGUAUAUGGUGCAAAGAAGUAAGACAAGCAUGCUUCACAAGAAUUAUGUCAAAAUCUCCAAAUAUAUGCGAGAAUGCUGUGGGGGCAAUCUCAUGAGCAAGAAGAGAAUCAUUGUUGCACUCAAUACAUGGCAAAUCUAGCAUGAGAGAGGCAACACAUGAAGAUAUUUGACAAGAAGCAAUAUGAUUCAUGUGCAAAGCAUAUAGAUGGUUGUCAUCAACCGCAUCAAAUGAGCAAGUAUGAAUCAUUGGUGAUGCAACAUAAGCAAGCAUAGUAAUGAAGUCGUGCAAACUAGUGGAGCGAAGAUGCAACACACUAGAAGAAAUCAUGACAAUCAUGUCAUGUGAGCAAAUAAUAGGCAUAGGGAAUGCACAUGACAUAUCGCAAGCACAGACACAAAGCAAGAUGAAAGUAUCAUCAUAGGAAUGGUGCACAAAAGGAACAUGGCAAUAACAAGCAAUAUCUCCACCAAGCUUGCAAAUACACAUACAAGUACAAGAAUCAAUCAUCAUGUGUAAUGCAAAGCAUGGGUCACAAAUGCAUGGCAAAGGCAUAGUAAAUAGCAUAUCAUGCAAAGUGAGAAUGGCAAGAUGGGCAAAUGAUAUAUAAUGGACAAUAAGCCAUAACCAUGUGAGGCCAUGUAGAAGAAAUGCGCGAAGUCCUUGCGCGAAGAGAGUGGUGGGAAAGCCAAUCCAUGGGAUCCCAAAUCAUCGUUGCUCUCUAGAGCUCGUUUUGUCAACUCGUGGGAUUGUGAGGUUGACAAGUAUUCAUGGGUACCUACACAAAAGAGACACAAACCAAAGAAAUUGUGCAUGUGGUAAAUGUACACAUCAUCCAUCAUGAUGUGUAUGUGCACGUGCGAGUUAGCACAAGAUAAGAAAUGCUCACAGAAAUUUGAUGCAUGGUAUAAGAACAUGUCAUCCAUCAUGAAAGAAUAGUUAUUAUGUAUGAUACGAUGGGGACACAAAUUGAGAAUGCAAGUAUAUGGCACAUCAAUAGCAUUUUCAUUCAAGGGAAACAUAUGGUGCACAUAAUUAUUGGGAUCAUGCAAUGGAUGGGAUGUAUCAAAAUCUCCUAACGUGUAUGAGAAAACUAUGGGGGUAUCCUCAUGAGCAAUAGCGGAAAUAUCAUAUGGAGAAAAUGGACAACAUCCAAAACAAUGCCUAUCCGAAGCUAGGUGGUCAUGGCAUGGCAUAUGAGAUAAAUGAUGCAAUGGGAGCAUAUCAAUAUCAUCACAAGAAAAACAAAUGCCAAUAACCAUGGGCUUGUCAUCUAUGCCGUAAGUGCAAAUUGGGUUUAUUUUAAUGGCAUAUGCAUAGUCACUAUGAAGAGAUUGCAAAUAAGACAUAUGGUGGAUCUCAUGCAUAGCAUAUGACAAGUCAAGCGGAUUAUCAAACAUGAUGUGACCUAAAGAAUUUUCACAAGAAAUCCUAUGUAACAUGGCAUCACAACUAAUAGACUCCAUAAGAGAAUCAUCAUACUCAUCAUAAAUGGGCAAAUCAUCGCAUGGGGAAAUCAUACAAGCAUGAAGCAUGGUAAUAGGUGGAUCAACAUCAUGCAAGCAAUCAAUGUCAAGAAUGUCCACUAGGGGGACUAGAGCAUCACCUUCACCUAUGUUACCUUUUUCAUUCCACUCAAGUGGUGUAGGUGAGGUGGCAAAGACCAAAUGAUGGUCAUCUUCAUCUUGAUGGAACCAUGUGGGGGGUGCAUCAUAUUCCACCAUGGCCAUCGUCUUGUCCAAAGGGAGGACGAUGUAAUCAAGGAUCGACGCGUCAUCAUAAAUGGGACCUAGCACCAAAUGAUAAGACAUAAUAGAGGUAGAGGUCAAGUUGUUAGAAUUGCAAAUGGCCUCACGAGACAUAUCAACUAUCACACUCUCUCUAUGUGGUGGUUCACUCACUCCCUCAAAAUAGGUGCACUCAAAGUCACAUAUGGUGGAGUCACUCAUCUCACUCAAGUGGUGGGGGUUGUGGCUCUCCUCACAUGGGAAUUGUGGCAACUCAUCAUAUUUGGGGCUAGUGGUGAAGUCACUCUCACUCUCAAUAUGGUGGCAAAAGUCACUCAAGUCAUCAUACGUCGCCGUGGUCGAAGGGAAAAUCCCAUGCUCAACCAUCUCGUCAUUGUCGCCAUGGAUGAAGGCCGAAGAUGGCACAACAUUGCUCUCCUCCAUGACCGAAGGGAAAAUCCCAUGCUCGAUCAUCUCGUCAUCGUCGCUGUUGAUGAAGGCCGAAGAUGGCACAUCAUCACUCUCGCCUCCUAAGAUGGAAGCAUCAUCCUUGCUCGCCACCUUGUCGCUCGCCUCCAAAGCUUGGUCCUUGAGUGUCUCCGUAGUCGUACUCGUCGCCGCACCGUCUUGAAAAAGAGUCAAAGUAGACUCGGCACCAUCAAUGCCACAAAGAGGGAUGGCGGUGAAGUCAAACUUGGGAGCAUCAUCUUGGAUCUCAUCGGGCUUGGACAUCAUGGUGGUACUAGCCUCAUGCUUUUCGUAGAGCUUGGUCGCCGCGAAGUGUGCUUGGGGUGGAGAAGCCUUGGCCUUCAUGAGUUCUUGUUCCACCUUGAGAGCACCAAUGUAGUAGUCGUCAAUGGACUUGCAGUUCUCGAGGAAGAUGGUCUUGGAGAUGUUGUUGUGCAAUCCCAUCAUGAAAUGGAACUUCAUCAAAAUGGAGUCGUCCACGCCGGCUCAUCGCAAGGCAAUCUUCAUCUCCUUGAAGUACUUGUCGAUGGACUUGGAUCCUUGGGUGGUGUUCUCCAAUUGGCGUCGAAGUUUUUCUGUGUAGGUUGGAGGCACAAACUCUCACCGCAAAGCUCUCUUCGUCUUGGGCCAACUCAUGUCGUAGUACUCCAAAGGUGUGUGAAGCCACCAAGACAAGGCGUAGUCGUGGAAGUUUCUUGUGGCGCACUUCACUUGAUCUUUGGGAGGAACUUGAUGUAGCUUGAGGUAGUCGUCCAUCAAACGCUCCCACUCGAGGUACUCCUCGGGUUCGUGAGUCCCAUAGAAAGGAAUCGCAUGGUCGAUGUCGAGGUCGUAGUAGCUCGUGGAAGUCACGGACUUGAGCUUGGGGAGCUUCUGUUGAGCGUAGUCUUGGGGUGCUUGUUGGCGAAGAUGUCGUAUGUCCGUAGGCGAAGAUGCCUUGAAGUCGCUUGGCAAAGAAGCCAAGGGAGAUGGUGAAGUCUUUAAGCGGUUGUUGGUGUAGAGCUCUUGACCUUCAUGUUCUUGUUGGUGAUGGUGUCGAUGCCGAUGUGAUCUUGCCGGAGAUGGUAGCUCGGAAGCAUGUGCUCUUGGGCGUCUUCUCGAAGAUGAGGAAGAUCGCUUGUAGGACUUGAUGAGGGCUUUGAUCUCCUCCAUUUGAGCUUGCAUCUUGGCAUCGUAGUUGUUGUUCGUGGCAUCGAACUCGUCCUUGUUGUUGUAGACCGAAGGUGAAAUGCCUUGCCUAUCCAUCACAAGACUCGAGUAGAGGUGAGUAGGAAAUGAGAUAAACAAUACCAAGUUACCUUUUCCCAAAGUUGAGGAUGUAUCCCGUUUCACUCAAUGUGAGAUGAAAGAAUAGUGGAAUUGGUACCGGACUUGUUCACUCACACCUAUCAAGUAAAGCUUAUGGUAGAGCUCGGUGAGGAUAGUGGCACAAAAAAUUGAUGCAAAAUGUUAGCAAGAGUCAAUAAUGUUGAAAGAGAUUCACAAAUUCGCAAGCGAAACAAGUAGACCAAUAGCAAUAUGUGGCACACAAAAACACACACACGGAUAGAUAAAUGGGGUCGUGCAACCAAGGAAUGAGCACCAAAUGUGGAAUCCACGAAAAACGCUCAUGUUGCACAACUCAAGAGAGAUGCUAGCACGAUUGCUCAAUAGGCGGAUACGACACUUGUGCACAACCUAUAAGAUGCAAAAUGGAUAAACUUUCUAUCCCAAGUAUGCUAUGUAUGUAUGGUUCCCGGUGUUUCUCACAAGAUGAUCCAAGAUGAUCGAGUAUGAUAACAUAUGAUAUAUGUUGAUGCUAUGGCUAUUGCUUACAAUCUCUUUGAUCUCUCUUUUUCUUUGCUUAAAAGCUUAUUCUCUUUUUUUGUAUGGCCACUUUUGCACAAUGCACGAACCAAGAUAGCAAUUGUGUAUAUGCGGGAACAAACUUGUGACACAAGAUAUGAUACCAAUAUGAUAUGGUAUGUAUGUAAUGGAAGGUAUAGACCACUAAUGUGCACAAGUCACGUUGCCGGCAAUACUCAAAUGGCUAGUCUCGAUAGGCAAGUAAUGCAAAAUGGUCUAGGGGUUAUCAAUGCAAUUUGCAAGGGGAAUAUACAAUGGUGUCGUCGAGGUUACCGUCCUUGGUGAUGAUGAGAGGCGGUGUUGCCGAUGUCGACCCGUUCCUAGUUAGCCGAAACACCUCAGGAAACGGAAAAACCGCAAACUCAAAAUCUCCAAAGGCAAAUGUCAAAAUGGUGGUAGCGGAAAAGUGGUGGUGGUUUGCACUUGGCAAUGCGGAAGUGGAAUGAUGGAUUAUGCGAGUCAAUGUUGAAGUUGCCGUCCCUAAGUAGCCGAAACACCUUAGGAGACACAAGCCACAACUCAAACAAAAUUGGGUUAAGUUCGGGUGGAAAUAUAUGGUGGACAAGGUUAUGUGGAAAUGGUGGUGGUGGUUGAUGAAGAAGCAAUCGUCCCUAAGUAGCCGAAACACCUUAGGAGACUCGAAUCACUACUCAAGGAACCACUAAUGCUAUGGUGAACAAAAUGGGUUAGGUUGCGGAAGUCGGUGGUGCCUAUGCGGAUGAUAUGGUGGAAGGCCUAGGCAAACAUGCCAAAUUUUGGAAAAUUUGAUGGAGUCAAAUGGUGUUGGUGGUAUUUUUGUGGGAUGGAGGAUGUCAAUAGCUUCAAAACGAGCUAAAGAACGUCAAAAUCGGAGUUCGGAUGAAUUAGUUAUGAACAAAACAAAAAUCAGCCGAAGUCUGAAACUACAGGUUACGGACGUCCGUAAAUGGAUGGAUGUCCGGUCGUCGGACGUCCGGGAAGGUCGGAAAUCCAUAAAUUCAGCUCGGGUUAGGGUUUCUGGUCGUCCGGGGAAAGUCGGACGUGCGGUGCUUCAUGGGGGUCCGGACGUCCGUAAAUCGCCGGUCGUCCGGUGGGUCGGGGUCAACGUGAAAUUUCAGAUCCGGGACGUGAUUUUGGGCGGAAAUUGGAGAUUUCGGGGUCAAAAUUGAUGAGAUUUUGUGGAUGAAAGAUGGGGAAACUUGGGGAAAUUCUAGAUCCACUCGAAACCAAGCAAAUCCAUGGAUCAAAAUCAAUGAAACAUCAUCAAACCAACAAAUCACAAAAAAAUUUGGGGCUAUUUUUGGUGGGAAUUUUCGGAUUUUGGGGAAGAACACAACAAUACAAGGCUAGAAAACGGUGGGAGGGACUCCAAAUACGUGAUAAACGUGGCUCAUGAUACCAUAUGAUACGGGGCUAACCCGGUGUAGGCCGAUCUUUCACGUUUGGAGUGGGAUCCCUCGAAGAGCACGAAGAACACGGGGAAGAACGGGGAGAAAUCACAAGGGGAAACACUCAAGAACAAGUCCAAUCACACAUCCACUAGACAAUCAAACACACAAGAUCACAAGGUACAUGAACAACAAAGGGAAAGAUACAAGGUAAGGUUCAUCUCCAAGGGGAGGUCUUGAUGAUAUCCUAGACGGAUCUUCCCACGAGGGGGUCUUAAUGAUAUCCCGUAGGAUCUUCUCCUAGAUGGAGGUCUUGGCCUCCAAUGGAGUAGUGGUCUCUCUCUCUCAAGAGUAGAGAUAGGUAGGAGCAAAGCUCACAUACAAAUGAGCUAUCACUUUGCUAACCCUAGAAAGGAGGUGGAGGUGGUCUAUUUAUAGUCUAAGCCACGAAGGGGUAAGUGGGAGAGGGAUACAAGGCCAAAGGCCCGCGGCUGCG
RNAcentral lists this long non-coding RNA (7851 nucleotides) under Triticum aestivum (bread wheat). Its description in RNAcentral is "long non-coding RNA (TAES_LNC011903)". The record is from RNAcentral. Lineage: Eukaryota; Viridiplantae; Streptophyta; Magnoliopsida; Poales; Poaceae.